RNAcentral lists this long non-coding RNA (1509 nucleotides) under Cyanistes caeruleus (blue tit). RNAcentral describes it as "lncRNA (ENSCCEG00000012592.1)". The record is from RNAcentral. Lineage: Eukaryota; Metazoa; Chordata; Aves; Passeriformes; Paridae.
AUUUCCUCAGGCUCAGGCUGGCCAGGAGAGGCUGACAUACAACUUUUCUUUAGGUCCAGGGUCACCACUUCCUCUAGAAGCAGAGGGAGCAGCACAGCCUCCUAGGUCUUGCACUCUGCACAUAAACCUGCUUCACAAGCAGCUCACGGGGCUGCAGCCUUCACAGGGCCAUCCAUCUCCUGUCUGCCUUUGCCUCUCCCAGAGCUGUUGAGGGAAAAGGUGCUCAGGAAGCAGUUUCAACCAGAUUGUGCCUUCUGUUGCUUUUUCUCUGGUAAUCAGACAGCUACACCAAUAAUCAUGUCCUUACAACCCUGGCUCCUGCUUAUCACAGGCUUGUCUGGGAAGGAGAGCUUGCUGUGCCCUGUUCACUCAGCCAUCCUCUGUGAUUAAUGUCUCCCUACCUGAGCCUGCACAGCUUUCCCUGGGAGGCACUGAAGCUGCUGCAUGUGCAAUGUUUUGGGCCCACUGGAAGAUGGGUAUGAAUGAUGAUUACUAGGUAAGUCCAGGGUGCUAUGAAAAUGUCCAUGAGUGACUAAAAUUUACACAAAAUUUAUUUUAAGUGUGCUUAGAUUAUGCUUCAUUUAAGCUUCUUCCUCAUUCACAGGCAUCAGGUCAAGUCUUCCACUGUGUCCAUCUGGAGAGACAGAUCCAUUGUGUCUGGAGAAGUGUUGUUGAUACUCAGAGACUGUAUUUAUGUCACUGCUAUUAUAUCUAUGGGCUCAUUCAGCCCUGGACCAUGUCAGAUUAUCUAAUGAAGCACAGUGAAGAAAUGGCAAAUUUGAAAAUUCAUCUGCUAAAAGAAACUCCAUGGUCACACAAUGGUGAGACCCUUGCUCCCACUAUCAGCUUGGGAUGGAUUUCAAUGAUCAGAGGCAGGCCAAAAUCAUCUUGAAAUCAUCUAAGUGCAAUAAGUUGUGUUUGGGAUUCCACUGACCAAGGGGGCUCCCAGAGCUCACUCUUUCACUUAAACAGCAUCUGGUCACCUCUUGUUCUUCUUUUUAGCAGAUCUGCCAGACUUGAUUGAGUUGUUUGCAUUAGGACUCCUGACAAGACCAGGUCUGGCAAAGCCCUUUUGGCCUACAGGCAGUUGCAAGGAGGUGGAGAAUGUCCAAAGGACAACAAACUCUGCAUGAUUUGUGUUCUAGAUUCCUCCCUCUGUCUCUCCAUCCCUCUCCCAUGGGGGAGCAGACACUAAUCAUUGCCUGCAGCACUGGGUGAUUAAUUCAAAUGAUUUAGCACCUGGGGAUUAACCUUCACACAGAGAUCGAUGUUUUGGCUGUUUCCUACAUUAUUACCCUUACAGCAAUUACCUCCCACAGAUACUUGCUCUUGUGCUAAUGAGCCAGAAGCUAUUAGCAUCCACAUCCGCUAUCUACAUGUUUUAUAGUUGCAGGAGGGUUCUUUCUUGAUGACCACAACUUCUAAACAGGUAAAUUUACAAUAUGAGUAGAAAAGACUUUUCUGAAGACACUUUUGGAAGGAAAAAAGAAUAGGGAAAAUUGUAUUAGC